AAGGGCACCACAAGAACGCGUGGAGCAUGUGGCUUAAUUUGACUCAACGCGGGAAAUCUUACCGGGUCCGGACACACUGAGGAUUGACAGAUAUACGCUGCGUUGCUGCACCUUCGGGUGUGCACGUGGCUCAAAGAUGCUAGUUCUUUCAUGAUUAUGUGAUAGGUGGUGCAUGGCCGUUCUUAGUUCGUGGAGUGAUCUGUCUGCUUAAUUGCGUAUCAAUAAUAGAGACCUAGUAUACGCGUAUUACUCAUGUGGUAGUGACCCCCUUCUCACGGAGGCGCGUGCCGCACAUAUGGUAUACGCACUGGUCUCAGAUAGCAACGAACGUGACCG
RNAcentral lists this ribosomal RNA (336 nucleotides) under Ammonia inflata. RNAcentral's name for it is "SSU rRNA". It matches the Rfam family "Eukaryotic small subunit ribosomal RNA", at positions 1160 to 1343 of the family's 1831-position model. Lineage: Eukaryota; Foraminifera; Rotaliida; Rotaliidae. The record is from RNAcentral.